UAGGGAAUCUUCCACAAUGGGCGAAAGCCUGAUGGAGCAACGCCGCGUGUGUGAUGAAGGCUUUAGGGUCGUAAAGCACUGUUGUAUGGGAAGAAAUGCUAGAAUAGGGAAUGAUUCUAGUUCGACGGUACCAUACCAGAAAGGGACGGCUAAAUACGUGCCAGCAGCCGCGGUAAUACGUAUGUCCCGAGCGUUAUCCGGAUUUAUUGGGCGUAAAGCGAGCGCAGACGGUUGAUUAAGUCUGAUGUGAAAGCCCGGAGCUCAACUCCGGAAUGGCAUUGGAAACUGGUUAACUUGAGUGUUGUAGAGGUAAGUGGAACUCCAUGUGUAGCGGUGGAAUGCGUAGAUAUAUGGAAGAACACCAGUGGCGAAGGCGGCUUACUGGACAACAACUGACGUUGAGGCUCGAAAGUGUGGGUAGCAAACAGGAUUAGAUACCCUGGUAGUCCACACUGUAAACGAUGAAUACUAGGUGUUAGGAGGNUUCCGCCUCUUAGUGNCGAAGCUAACGCAUUAAGUAUUCCGCCUGGGGAGUACGACCGCAAGGUUG
RNAcentral lists this ribosomal RNA (550 nucleotides) under uncultured bacterium. RNAcentral's name for it is "bacterial SSU rRNA". It matches the Rfam family "Bacterial small subunit ribosomal RNA", at positions 355 to 896 of the family's 1533-position model. The record is from RNAcentral.